GCGCCCGUAGCUCAACGGAUAGAGCAUCUGACUACGGAUCAGAAGGUUGGGGGUUCGAGUCCCUCCGGGCGCG
Molecule: transfer RNA, 73 nt
Organism: Beutenbergia cavernae DSM 12333
Lineage: Bacteria; Bacillati; Actinomycetota; Actinomycetes; Micrococcales; Beutenbergiaceae
Rfam family: tRNA
About the family: Transfer RNA (tRNA) molecules are approximately 80 nucleotides in length. Their secondary structure includes four short double-helical elements and three loops (D, anti-codon, and T loops).
Source: Rfam